This 21-nucleotide non-coding RNA is filed under the name Caenorhabditis elegans. Lineage: Eukaryota; Metazoa; Nematoda; Chromadorea; Rhabditida; Rhabditidae. The record is from RNAcentral.
UUUUAACCACUAAACCACAUU